UGGGGAAUUUUGGACAAUGGGGGAAACCCUGAUCCAGCCAUCCCGCGUGUGCGAUGAAGGCCUUCGGGUUGUAAAGCACUUUUGGCAGGAGAGAAACGUCGCGGGUUAAUACCCCGCGAAACUGACGGUACCUGCAGAAUAAGCACCGGCUAACUACGUGCCAGCAGCCGCGGUAAUACGUAGGGUGCAAGCGUUAAUCGGAAUUACUGGGCGUAAAGCGUGCGCAGGCGGUUCGGAAAGAAAGAUGUGAAAUCCCAGAGCUUAACUUUGGAACUGCAUUUUUAACUACCGGGCUAGAGUGUGUCAGAGGGAGGUGGAAUUCCGCGUGUAGCAGUGAAAUGCGUAGAUAUGCGGAGGAACACCGAUGGCGAAGGCAGCCUCCUGGGAUAACACUGACGCUCAUGCACGAAAGCGUGGGGAGCAAACAGGAUUAGAUACCCUGGUAGUCCACGCCCUAAACGAUGUCAACUAGCUGUUGGGGCCUUCGGGCCUUGGUAGCGCAGCUAACGCGUGAAGUUGACCGCCUGGGGAGUACGGUCGC
This 541-nucleotide ribosomal RNA is filed under the name uncultured bacterium. RNAcentral describes it as "partial 16S ribosomal RNA". It matches the Rfam family "Bacterial small subunit ribosomal RNA", at positions 355 to 889 of the family's 1533-position model. The record is from RNAcentral.